This 1404-nucleotide ribosomal RNA is filed under the name Enterococcus durans. RNAcentral describes it as "bacterial SSU rRNA". It matches the Rfam family "Bacterial small subunit ribosomal RNA", at positions 58 to 1434 of the family's 1533-position model. The record is from RNAcentral. Lineage: Bacteria; Bacillati; Bacillota; Bacilli; Lactobacillales; Enterococcaceae.
CAAGUCGUACGCUUCUUUUUCCACCGGAGCUUGCUCCACCGGAAAAAGAAGAGUGGCGAACGGGUGAGUAACACGUGGGUAACCUGCCCAUCAGAAGGGGAUAACACUUGGAAACAGGUGCUAAUACCGUAUAACAAUCGAAACCGCAUGGUUUUGAUUUGAAAGGCGCUUUCGGGUGUCGCUGAUGGAUGGACCCGCGGUGCAUUAGCUAGUUGGUGAGGUAACGGCUCACCAAGGCCACGAUGCAUAGCCGACCUGAGAGGGUGAUCGGCCACAUUGGGACUGAGACACGGCCCAAACUCCUACGGGAGGCAGCAGUAGGGAAUCUUCGGCAAUGGACGAAAGUCUGACCGAGCAACGCCGCGUGAGUGAAGAAGGUUUUCGGAUCGUAAAACUCUGUUGUUAGAGAAGAACAAGGAUGAGAGUAACUGUUCAUCCCUUGACGGUAUCUAACCAGAAAGCCACGGCUAACUACGUGCCAGCAGCCGCGGUAAUACGUAGGUGGCAAGCGUUGUCCGGAUUUAUUGGGCGUAAAGCGAGCGCAGGCGGUUUCUUAAGUCUGAUGUGAAAGCCCCCGGCUCAACCGGGGAGGGUCAUUGGAAACUGGGAGACUUGAGUGCAGAAGAGGAGAGUGGAAUUCCAUGUGUAGCGGUGAAAUGCGUAGAUAUAUGGAGGAACACCAGUGGCGAAGGCGGCUCUCUGGUCUGUAACUGACGCUGAGGCUCGAAAGCGUGGGGAGCAAACAGGAUUAGAUACCCUGGUAGUCCACGCCGUAAACGAUGAGUGCUAAGUGUUGGAGGGUUUCCGCCCUUCAGUGCUGCAGCUAACGCAUUAAGCACUCCGCCUGGGGAGUACGACCGCAAGGUUGAAACUCAAAGGAAUUGACGGGGGCCCGCACAAGCGGUGGAGCAUGUGGUUUAAUUCGAAGCAACGCGAAGAACCUUACCAGGUCUUGACAUCCUUUGACCACUCUAGAGAUAGAGCUUCCCCUUCGGGGGCAAAGUGACAGGUGGUGCAUGGUUGUCGUCAGCUCGUGUCGUGAGAUGUUGGGUUAAGUCCCGCAACGAGCGCAACCCUUAUUGUUAGUUGCCAUCAUUUAGUUGGGCACUCUAGCAAGACUGCCGGUGACAAACCGGAGGAAGGUGGGGAUGACGUCAAAUCAUCAUGCCCCUUAUGACCUGGGCUACACACGUGCUACAAUGGGAAGUACAACGAGUCGCGAAGUCGCGAGGCUAAGCUAAUCUCUUAAAGCUUCUCUCAGUUCGGAUUGUAGGCUGCAACUCGCCUACAUGAAGCCGGAAUCGCUAGUAAUCGCGGAUCAGCACGCCGCGGUGAAUACGUUCCCGGGCCUUGUACACACCGCCCGUCACACCACGAGAGUUUGUAACACCCGAAGUCGGUGAG